GAAGGUUGCCCUAAAGUGAUGUUUUGGACGCUAUAAAUAGAAAAGAAAGCAAAAGGCAAAGAGUGACACACUUUCGCCUCUUCUCCUCCACUCAUAGCUGUGCAUAUCCAAGCAACAGACCACCAAAAAGUAACCAAUCAAGGAAGCAACGAGCACUUAUCAAGAAGAAGAGGAUGAGCUUGCAAAACCAAUAAGAAGGAGAGAUGGGAGCUGAAUCAAAAAGUCUUGGCAUCGAAUUCAAGGACGGUUGCAAGAAAGGAAGAAAAAUCCAAGUGUAACUUGUAUCUCAUGCCUUUAUCUCUUUAUUUCUAUUGGAAUAUUUUUAUGAAUGUUGUAUUAAUAUUCAUGCAUGACUAAACUUUAAAUCUAGUUAAGGGAACUAUUUAUUAGAUUAAUGUGUUUAAGAAUGGUUUGAUUUAUUCUUAUAUAUGCCUAUAGUUUCUUUAUUUAGUACAUGUAAUCUUAAUGUGCAAUGUUCAAAAAUUUAUUUUCACUAAUUUUUCAUUUAAAAAUUUAAUCAUAAAUCCUAACCAACGAUGGAAAAUAAUUUUAUUAUUGCCCACCCAGACUUGUAAAAUAAGUGGAAAUCUUGUAAAUUCAAGCAAAAACCCAAAAUUAAGCCAAAUCCUCCCUGAAUUGGACCAAACUAGCCCAUAACCGAUUAGAACUGUCUAGAAGUGCAAAAAUCCCCAUUGGGUCCUAAGCCCCUUCUCUCCUUCCAGUUAACGCUGGCCCCAGGAGCUCUCCCCUCCCUUGGUCUCGAUUUUUCGACGACGGUAGCCUUCAACCGACAGGCGUGAUCUCUUCUUCUCCUUAGCAGUAGCUCCGAUCGCUGCUUUCCCUAUCUCCGGCCUGCCCGUCUUAGCGCAAAAACAAGAGAGACAGACCCCUAUUUGGUAUCGCGGCCGACCUCAAGCAAUUUUCGACUGCUCUUCAAUUAGCUAAGCCGAUUAUCCUCCCUCUUCACUCAUUUGCAAGUUAUUUUGUAUAGAUUGGGCGAAGUAUUGAAGGAAUUGAUCAAAUGAAACUUAGGGAUUUGAGGACAAAAGUUUGGAUUUCGUUAGAUAUAGACAUAAUUCGUAGUAGCUGGCUAUAGAACUAAUCCUAUAUGGAAUUUGCUACGUUUUGGCAUAUGAGUUGCAAGAUUCUGGAAUCAUGGCACCUCCAGCCACCACGAAGGGCAGCAAUGGCAGAGGCUCCGGUGACUGGAAUUCCUCAUAGACAAUAUGUUCCAAUUUUUAUAUAGAUUCUAGUUUUGCAAUUAGUUUUGUACUUUGAUAUUAUUUAGUGCUCGAAUCCUUAGACGACAGAAAUCGAAAAUUA
RNAcentral lists this long non-coding RNA (1323 nucleotides) under Jatropha curcas. Its description in RNAcentral is "long non-coding RNA (JCUR_LNC003077)". The record is from RNAcentral. Lineage: Eukaryota; Viridiplantae; Streptophyta; Magnoliopsida; Malpighiales; Euphorbiaceae.